RNAcentral lists this long non-coding RNA (284 nucleotides) under Prunus persica (peach). RNAcentral describes it as "long non-coding RNA (PPER_LNC006884)". Lineage: Eukaryota; Viridiplantae; Streptophyta; Magnoliopsida; Rosales; Rosaceae. The record is from RNAcentral.
GAUCGGUAACAUUAGACACUCGGUACCAUAAGACCCUGUUGAAGUUUAGGAUCCUAUUCAAGACAGAGCCAAUAGGUGAAGCUGAGAAACUAAGGAGAGAGAAAAAGGACGAAAGUAAUUUGGUGGGCUGCCGUUUGGCAUUUUUCCCUUGCCGGUCCUCUUUAAUAAUCCGGGUUGGUGGUUGUUUGCCAAUUCAUAUUGAUAUGUUGUUUGUUGCAGUGGCAGGAGGAAGUGACAUGUUCAAGCCAACAAAGAGAAAGAUGUAGUCUUAGCAGCCGAAGUUG